RNAcentral lists this ribosomal RNA (301 nucleotides) under uncultured bacterium. RNAcentral's name for it is "partial 16S ribosomal RNA". It matches the Rfam family "Bacterial small subunit ribosomal RNA", at positions 509 to 807 of the family's 1533-position model. The record is from RNAcentral.
CAGCCGCCGCGGUAAAACAGAGGAUGCAAGCGUUAUCCGGAAUGAUUGGGCGUAAAGCGUCUGUAGGUGGCUUUUCAAGUCCGCCGUCAAAUCCCAGGGCUCAACCCUGGACAGGCGGUGGAAACUACCAAGCUGGAGUACGGUAGGGGCAGAGGGAAUUUCCGGUGGAACGGUGAAAUGCGUUGAGAUCGGAAAGAACACCAACGGUGAAAGCACUCUGCUGGGCCGACACUGACACUGAGAGACGAAAGCUAGGGGAGCAAAUGGGAUUAGAUACCCCUGUAGUCCCUGUCUCUUAUAC